Molecule: ribosomal RNA, 400 nt
Filed under: uncultured bacterium
Lineage: Bacteria
Description: bacterial SSU rRNA
Rfam family: Bacterial small subunit ribosomal RNA
Source: RNAcentral
UGGGGAAUUUUGGACAAUGGGCGCAAGCCUGAUCCAGCAAUGCCGCGUGAGUGAAGAAGGCCUUCGGGUUGUAAAGCUCUUUUGUCAGGGAAGAAACGGGAGAGGCUAAUAUCUUUUCCUAAUGACGGUACCUGAAGAAUAAGCACCGGCUAACUACGUGCCAGCAGCCGCGGUAAUACGUAGGGUGCAAGCGUUAAUCGGAAUUACUGGGCGUAAAGCGUGCGCAGGCGGUUUUGUAAGUCUGACGUGAAAUCCCCGGGCUCAACCUGGGAAUUGCGUUGGAGACUGCAAGGCUGGAGUCUGGCAGAGGGGGGUAGAAUUCCACGUGUAGCAGUGAAAUGCGUAGAGAUGUGGAGGAACACCGAUGGCGAAGGCAGCCCCCUGGGUCAAGACUGACGCU